AGCACUGGGCCUUUUGUUAUUGUUUCUGCUUGUGUGUGUGUUUGAGACAGAGAGAGAGAGAGGCUCCUUCCUUAAUUGUCUCUCACAUGUCUUGUUUAUCUUCAUAAUUAUCAUAUAGAAAAAAUCUCCUGAAGGAAAGCAUAAAAGUGAACCCCCCAUCUCUUUCUCUCUCUCUCUCUCUCUCUCUCUCUCUCUCUCUGUGCUGCCUUAGAUUUGCUGAGAUCUUGAGUCGCUUUCCUGUGUCUGACUCCCAUAUGGUCAUGGGGACAAUGACCCUUAAUUUCCCUCUGCAAAAGAAACUCUCUCUCUCUGCCCAACUCCUUUUUCUUCUUUACCUGCCACAAGAAUAUGGAUUAGGGUUUUGAACAGCUCCUCUAAUUACUUAGAUUUUAGGGUUAUGUGUAUUUAAUGGUCUCUUUCAUUUAUAUAUGUAGACAAUGUUUGGAUCCUAUAAUCUGCAGAUGUGUACUGCUUGGAAGUUUCAUAACAAAUGUUGCUUCAUUGAUUUGAGCGCUAGAGUGAGAAAGUGGUGUCCAGUACAAAGUGCAGUUGCAUGUUGGUGGGUUUUUAAUUACUUGAGCUUAAUUUAUUGGCUUCUAUAUGAAUGUCAGAAAACAACUCAAGUAGUCUCAGCAGGAAUAUUGAUUAAUUUGCAUGGUGGGAUUUGCUUUAUUGGUAAUGCAUGUCAGAAAAGAAACUGGUGAUGAGAGAAUUGAAGAAAUGGGGAGAGAGAGCUUUCUUCAGUCCACUCAUGGAUAAGAUUUUAAGGGUUGUUGAAGUAGCUGCCGACUCAUUCACUCAAGCACUCAGUAGAGAAAUUCGAAAGGAGUGAGAAAAAAAAAACCAUCAAACAAUUUGCUACUGUGAUUGUGUGAAUGAAGCGGGAGAUAUUUUACAUCCCUCUUUCUCUGCGCUUGGACUGAAGGGAGCUCCUCCUUUCCAUUGCCUCCACUUUUUUCCGUACUCUAGGAACACAUACUACACAAACACUUCGAGUUAAUAGUCAUUGUCGUCGUCAUUACGAUCAUCUUGUGUUUAUAGUAGUUUGUUACUCUUUACUAAUUAACGGGACAUCCUUAAUGGCGUCGAAGACCUAUUGGGAAAUUGAUUUUUUCUUGCAGGGUUAAGAGUUAUCUUGGCAUUGGACAAUUGAUUAAUUAGGUCAAGUCUUGUUAAAAUGUGUGUUUAGAUGUACAAUCUGCCAGCAUAAUUUAACUUGUUAUUAGAUACAUUACAUACACAGCAAGCAUUUGAUAAAUCAGUUUGGUACUGCUACUGCAUAAUAUAUAUGAAGAAGAGGGGCCUACCAAGACCUACCAUCAAGUUAUAUCUGUUGCCCGCUGGGUUAUUGAGAGAGAGAUGACAGGCUCUCCCUUGUCCUCUAUUUGUUUUGUUUCACCCUUCAUAUAUAUUCUCCUCUUUUUUCCCCCGACAAGUAAACUUGGUCAGCUGUUUUUCCCCCGAUUUACUUUAUUCCCUUCUUUCUAAAGAGUGUCAGCCAGCGACUUUUCUCCCUUUUUUCCCUCAAUUUUUUCACUCUAAGAAAAACAAGCAUCUGUCAUUUUUGUAGGCAUUGCAUGCUUAAAAAAGACCACUAGUUUUUGUAUAAUUUUGCACAUACAUGAUCCCUUGUGAAAGUCCAAAUGUACAUGUCAGUAUAUAACAUGCAGCAGCAAACACCAUGCACAGACCACCACCCCCACCACCACUGCAGUGAUUUGUGGAAGGCAACCUAACAUUAUAUUUCUCUGAAAAUUAAAGUUCCAACAAAGUUAACCGUGUUUUCUUCAACUAUUGGCUCGUGCGGCUGCGUUUGCGCAGGUAAAAAAGUAUGCUUUCUUAAUUGGUAUUGUUUAUACAUAUAUAUUUAUCUAUGUGAAGGCUGAAGGCUGAAGGCCUCGGUUCUCAUUCUUGCAUGUGUUCAUCGAAAGCUGUACCCUUUUUCUGGCAUUUUUCAUUUCAUUUGGAGCUGUGCCUGCCAGCCAUUCAGUCUUCUAUGCUGCUGUCUUUUAUUUAUAUUUAUUUUUUUAAUUACCAGAGAAAGGGUUUUCUCUCUUAAAAUGACUUUAAAAAGUACAAAAGUGUGGAACAAAUAAGGAAAUUAAAGCCAGGAUUAUAUUAUAUAUAUGAUUAAAGCUUUUUCUUGGAGGUGGGUUUCUGUUUUUAAGUCUUUUUUGUUGGAAAUGGGCGGUGAGUGGUGUAAAAAUCUGAUAAUGUUGAUAAUGUGAUCACUGUAGAUUGCCAUAUUUGGGAAGAUUGGGGCAAAUGGGCUAACUUCCUCUUUUGGAAAUCAGCAUUUGUUUAAUGCAGAGAUGAAUGGAACUUUGGGAGUUUCACGUUGGUCAUGUAAAUUUCUUGCAGGCAAGGCAUGCACUGUGGCCCCCUUUUUCUUUUUCUUCUUCUCAGGACUUACAAACUCCAAUGGGUGAAUGAAGCAGCUUGGCUAAAGUUCAAGUUUAUUCUUUUAUACGGAUCUUUUUCUGUUUUUUCUUUCCUUUGUUUUUUGGAAUGAAUGGCAAAGUGUGCUCUUGUCUUGUGGUUAUAAGGCAUUAGUUUGGUUUCAUUUAAACAAAAGAAUAAGGGGCAUAUUAGCAUUCGUGAGCUUAGUCAAGUUGGCUAGCACCCGGAUAUAAGGCAUUAUUAAAUAAGAAUGGACUAUUUAUA
Long non-coding RNA from Prunus avium (sweet cherry), 2664 nucleotides. RefSeq lists it as uncharacterized. NCBI's taxonomy places the organism in Eukaryota, Viridiplantae, Streptophyta, Magnoliopsida, Rosales, Rosaceae. The record is from RefSeq and is a predicted model, not a curated record.